UCCGACCUCGUUGGGCCUAGCCGAACUUGGACCGGAUUCGUUUCCAUGGAUACGUCUCCGCUGAUGUGCACUAUUAACAUCUAGCCCAGGACCAGGAGUAAAGGUCCAAGUGAUGAACACUGAAGAGGAGCCAUUUGGAUUGGAUCGGCAUUUCUUUAGCUAUUCCUGUGUCGACUGUCGAGCCUUGCACAAAGAAAUCUCCUCGAUUCACUCCUCCUUGUACUCAUAAAUCCUUCAAGCCCUCGUGCUGUAUUGUUCGGCCGCUGCAUAUCUCUGCUGUUCUGUCAACGGAAACAAGAGAAUAUUGUCUAAGUAGAUCCAAAACAUGUUGACUCCCAAUCCCAAAUCUACCAUCAGAUUUAGGAUAUGGGUUCUUCUCUUCUCACUGUUUUUUCUCGCUACCUCCAAUUUAGCCAAAUCUGAAACCGGUUUUCGAGCAACUAAGAAGAGAUUUAUGAGAGAGAAGGUCCGGAAAAUGUUUUACCAUGCAUACAACAACUACAUGACUUAUGCAUUUCCGCAUGAUGAGCUAAAGCCUCUUACGAAGACAUUCGCUGACUCACUUAGUGAGCUUGGAAAUUUGAAGCUUGAACACUUACCUCAAAACUAUAAUGGAUCAGCGCUUACACUUAUCGAAUCAUUAUCCAGUCUUGUUGUAUUGGGCAACAACACAGAAUUUGAAAGAGCAGUUCUUUGGCUUUCUGAGAAUCUCACCUUUGACGUUGAUGCAAGGAUAAACCUAUUUGAGUGCAACAUAAGAGUUCUUGGAGGGCUUCUUUCUGCUCAUAUUCUUGCAACUGAUUCUAGGAGCAGGUUGGUUCAAGGGAAAUAUAAUAAUCAGCUUCUUGCUUUGGCUGAAGAUUUAGGAAAGCGCUUUCUAUAUGCAUUUGCUACUCCCACUGGAUUACCAUAUGCAUGGGUUAAUCUUAAGUAUGGUGUGAUGGAGAAUGAGACAACUGAAACAAGCACUUCAGGAUGUGGUUCACUCAUCCUUGAAAUGGGGGCAUUAUCAAGGUUAACUGGGGACCCCAGAUAUGAAGCUGCCGCUUUGCGUGCUCUUCAUAAGCUAUGGAGCAUGCGAAGUCCUUUAAAUCUCCUAGGAACUACACUUGAUGUGGUCACUGGGGAAUGGAUAGAGUAUUCAUCUGGCAUUGGGGCUGGAGUUGAUUCCUUCUAUGAGUAUCUAAUCAAAGCUCACAUUCUUUUUGGAAGGGAGGAGUUCUGGGACAUUUUUCAUUCUGCAUAUGUUGCUGUGCAGAAAUAUUUCCGGCAUGGACCAUGGUAUCAUGAAGCUGAUAUGAGGACUGGAAGGGCUACAUACUGGCAGCUUACAAGCCUUCAAGCAUUUUGGCCUGGCCUACAGGUUCUUGUUGGAGACAUUUUGGCUGCUAAUUCAUCCCAUCAUGAGUUUUUUCAUGUGUGGGAAAAAUUUGGUGUGCUACCAGAAAGGUAUUUGCUGAACCAUGAAAUGUUGCAUCCUACUGAGAAAUAUUAUCCUCUACGCCCUGAAUUGGCAGAGUCCACAUUUUACUUAUAUCAAGCUACCAAAGAUCCUUGGUACAUGGAAGUGGGUGAAUCAAUUGUAAAUUCUCUUAAUUUAUAUACUAAAGUGGAAGGUGGGUUUGCAAGCAUAAAAGAUGUGACAACCAUGCAACUGGAAGAUCAUCAACAUAGCUUCUUCCUGGCAGAAACGUGCAAAUAUCUUUAUCUUCUUUUUGAUGAUUCAUUUUUGGCUGAUCAAAAUUAUAUAUUUACAACUGAGGGUCAUCCUCUUCCUGUAUUAAGUAGUUGGCAUGAGAGGCUUCCCGAGACCUUCACUUCAACUAAUUGGACUUUUGUCAAGGGAAUUAGCCAAGUAAAACGUGCAAGUGCAAUGUCUUUGCAAGUUUGUCCAGCAUCUACACUGGUACGAGGAACUACUGCCCAAUUGGUGGAGAGUGCUUGCCAUGUCCCUGAUGCUCGUGCUGACCACAGGUGCAUGACUGAUGAGGAAUGUGGAAUUGACUCAACUAGUUGUCGGCAAAGAACAUGCAGCAUGGCUGGCUACUGUGGCCUGUGGCUGCUGUUCAUACCUUAAUUCCUUGUUAACCCUCUUGCUGCCUACACCAUAAGGCCAUUUUUCUUUUUUCUUUUUUUUCCCUUUUCCGACAAGGAAUAACUGCAAAUCCCAUGGAACAAGAUUAGCGCGUAAGGGUCUUUUUUCUGUACCAUAUUCAAAUUCAUGGCCCACUGCUGGAUACUGAUGGCAUUGGCAUUCAAAUUACAAGUUUGCCAAGCUCUUCACUGCCAAUAAGCUUCAUUUUACAUAUAAUCAAUGAGCGCAGAACCAUGUGCUUGUUCUUCCGUGAUUGAUUUUGCCUCUCCAACGUGUGCCCAGGUACAGAUAUUAGAUAUCCUCCCUUAUGAGUGUGUUUUGUUCCCUAGAUGUUUCUUAAUAGGAGUUUAUCAAAAUAUCGUCAUGUUAUUAUUAAAUCAACAUUUUUUCCAUCAUAUUUAUCCGCAUGUAUUGAUAUUCAUAAAAGUGGAUUUUGAUUUA
RNA transcript from Nelumbo nucifera (sacred lotus), 2536 nucleotides. It is a transcript of the gene named alpha-mannosidase I MNS5-like, with no coding region annotated. The record is from RefSeq and is a predicted model, not a curated record. NCBI's taxonomy places the organism in Eukaryota, Viridiplantae, Streptophyta, Magnoliopsida, Proteales, Nelumbonaceae.